UUCAGGGGUAAACCUGAGAAACCCGAAAGGUCGAAAGGGGAGAUUCAGCGUGUCUCGAUCGUAGCGCUGGACGGUCGUGCGACGGACGGCGUACGCGUCGUCCGCGCCUUUCGUUCUCCGAACUUCGGUCGAACGCGUGCACUUCUCCUCCUGUAGGACGUCGCGAUUCGUUGGGUGCCGGUCUAAGGCCCGAGGUGGAGUCCGUCAGGACGUUUCGGCGUUCCUGGCGAACCCUUGGUGUUUCCCGGUCGGCUCGCUCGACGAUAUACAGAUGGCGCGAGGCCGCUAUUCAGUUAGCGUUCGACCUUUGGCAAGCGCGUCCGUCGUGACGGUGAUCGGACCUGGUGCCGGUCCCGUCCCCGGAUGGCUGUUCGCUGAGGUGUUCUCGAACAGACCUCGUUGAAACGCCGAUCUGCGACGCUAUAGCUUUGGGUACUUUCAGGACCCGUCUUG
Molecule: ribosomal RNA, 453 nt
Filed under: Oodescelis kansouensis
Lineage: Eukaryota; Metazoa; Arthropoda; Insecta; Coleoptera; Tenebrionidae
Description: partial 28S ribosomal RNA
Source: RNAcentral